This 253-nucleotide ribosomal RNA is filed under the name uncultured bacterium. RNAcentral describes it as "partial 16S ribosomal RNA". It matches the Rfam family "Bacterial small subunit ribosomal RNA", at positions 524 to 776 of the family's 1533-position model. The record is from RNAcentral.
UACGUAGGGUGCAAGCGUUGUCCGGAAUUAUUGGGCGUAAAGAGCUCGUAGGCGGUUUGUUGCGUCGGCUGUGAAAACCUGAGGCUCAACCUCAGGCCUGCAGUCGAUACGAGCAGACUAGAGUGUUGCAGGGGAGACUGGAAUUCCUGGUGUAGCGGUGAAAUGCGCAGAUAUCAGGAGGAACACCAAAGGCGAAGGCAGGGUUCUGGCUCGUUUCUGACGCUAAGGUGCGAAAGCCAGGGGAGCGAACGGG